GUUGGGUAACACUAACUGGAGGACCGAACCGACUAAUGUUGAAAAAUUAGCGGAUGACCUGUGGCUGGGGGUGAAAGGCCAAUCAAACCGGGAGAUAGCUGGUUCUCCCCGAAAGCUAUUUAGGUAGCGCCUCGUGAAUUCAUCUCCGGGGGUAGAGCACUGUUUCGGCUAGGGGGCCAUCCCGGCUUACCAACCCGAUGCAAACUGCGAAUACCGGAGAAUGUUAUCACGGGAGACACACGGCGGGUGCUAACGUCCGUCGUGAAGAGGGAAACAACCCAGACCGCCAGCUAAGGUCCCAAAGUCAUGGUUAAGUGGGAAACGAUGUGGGAAGGCCCAGACAGCCAGGAUGUUGGCUUAGAAGCAGCCAUCAUUUAAAGAAAGCGUAAUAGCUCACUGGUCGAGUCGGCCUGCGCGGAAGAUGUAACGGGGCUAAACCAUGCACCGAAG
This 450-nucleotide ribosomal RNA is filed under the name Salmonella enterica subsp. enterica serovar Enteritidis. RNAcentral's name for it is "partial 23S ribosomal RNA". It matches the Rfam family "Bacterial large subunit ribosomal RNA", at positions 751 to 1199 of the family's 2925-position model. The record is from RNAcentral. Lineage: Bacteria; Pseudomonadati; Pseudomonadota; Gammaproteobacteria; Enterobacterales; Enterobacteriaceae.